AUUGAACGCUGGCGGCAUGCUUUACACAUGCAAGUCGAACGGUAACAGGCCUUCGGGUGCUGACGAGUGGCGAACGGGUGAGUAAUGCAUCGGAACGUACCCAGAGGUGGGGGAUAACGCAGCGAAAGCUGUGCUAAUACCGCAUGUGAUCUGAGGAUGAAAGCGGGGGACCGAGCAGCAAUGUUUGGCCUCGCGCCUUUGGAGCGGCCGAUGUCGGAUUAGCUAGUUGGUGGGGUAAAGGCCUACCAAGGCGGCGAUCCGUAGCUGGUCUGAGAGGACGACCAGCCACACUGGGACUGAGACACGGCCCAGACUCCUACGGGAGGCAGCAGUGGGGAAUUUUGGACAAUGGGCGCAAGCCUGAUCCAGCAAUGCCGCGUGCGGGAAGAAGGCCUUCGGGUUGUAAACCGCUUUUGGCAGGAACGAAACGGUGUCCGCUAAUACCGGGCGCUAGUGACGGUACCUGCAGAAUAAGCACCGGCUAACUACGUG
This 492-nucleotide ribosomal RNA is filed under the name uncultured bacterium. RNAcentral describes it as "partial 16S ribosomal RNA". It matches the Rfam family "Bacterial small subunit ribosomal RNA", at positions 29 to 507 of the family's 1533-position model. The record is from RNAcentral.